Polyodon spathula (Mississippi paddlefish) is the source of this 391-nucleotide long non-coding RNA. RefSeq lists it as uncharacterized. The record is from RefSeq and is a predicted model, not a curated record. The transcript has 3 exons. Lineage: Eukaryota; Metazoa; Chordata; Actinopteri; Acipenseriformes; Polyodontidae.
UCCUAGCAAUGUGUGUUUUGUAGUUGUGGGAUCGCUGAUUUAUUUUGAUUUAUCUGAAUAUCGGUCUUACAUUUCAGUCUAAAUCUAAUCAAAAUGCAUGAACACGUGUACGUAAAACCACAGUCAGCAUGCAUUUUCUAAGUUAAGGGAAGAAGUGAAAACCAUUCACAAUGGAGCAGAGUAGAGGCAUGAAGCGGUUAUAUGUUGGUGGUCUGAACCACUCAAUCUCUCACACCGAACUCCAACAAAGGUUUGCGAAAUUCGGACAUGUGUCAGACGUGGAUAUUGUUACCAGAAAAGACGAGGUUCCAGACCAUAAGGACUGGGUUGUAAGUAAAUUUGGAUGGGUCCUUCCAGUUCUUCGACUUAAAAACCAAGGCAAUAAAAAGAU